Molecule: transfer RNA, 73 nt
Filed under: Plutella xylostella (diamondback moth)
Lineage: Eukaryota; Metazoa; Arthropoda; Insecta; Lepidoptera; Plutellidae
Description: tRNA-Ser
Source: RNAcentral
GACCGAAUGGCGUAGUGGUUAGUGAACCUGACUACUGAGCCGAUGGUCCCGGGUUCGAUUCCCGGCUGGGGCA